GCGAGAUUAGUUUAGUGGCAGAACGGUUGCUUCCCAAGCAACAAGCACGAGUUCGAUUCUCGUAUCUCGCA
Molecule: transfer RNA, 71 nt
Filed under: Candidatus Kaiserbacteria bacterium CG10_big_fil_rev_8_21_14_0_10_49_17
Lineage: Bacteria; Candidatus Kaiseribacteriota
Description: tRNA-Gly
Rfam family: tRNA
About the family: Transfer RNA (tRNA) molecules are approximately 80 nucleotides in length. Their secondary structure includes four short double-helical elements and three loops (D, anti-codon, and T loops).
Source: RNAcentral